GAUGAACGCUGGCGGCGUGCCUAAUACAUGCAAGUCGAGCGAACAGACGAGGAGCUUGCUCCUUUGACGUUAGCGGCGGACGGGUGAGUAACACGUAGGAAACCUACCUAUAAGACUGGGAUAACUUCGGGAAACCGGAGCUAAUACCGGUUAAUAUUUCGAACCGCAUGGUUCGAUAGUGGAAGAUGGCUUUGCUAUCACUUAUAGAUGGACCUGCGCCGUAUUAGCUAGUUGGUAAGGUAACGGCUUACCAAGGCAACGAUACGUAGCCGACCUGAGAGGGUGAUCGGCCACACUGGAACUGAGACACGGUCCAGACUCCUACGGGAGGCAGCAGUAGGGAAUCUUCCGCAAUGGGCGAAAGCCUGACGGAGCAACGCCGCGUGAGUGAUGAAGGUCUUCGGAUCGUAAAACUCUGUUAUUAGGGAAGAACAAACGUGUAAGUAACUGUGCACGUCUUGACGGUACCUAAUCAGAAAGCCACGGCUAACUACGUG
RNAcentral lists this ribosomal RNA (497 nucleotides) under uncultured bacterium. Its description in RNAcentral is "partial 16S ribosomal RNA". It matches the Rfam family "Bacterial small subunit ribosomal RNA", at positions 28 to 507 of the family's 1533-position model. The record is from RNAcentral.